CACAUCCAAGGAAGGCAGCAGGCACGCAAAUUACCCAAUCCCAGCUCUGGGAGGAGUGACGAAAAUAACAAUGCGGGACUCUACCGAGUCUGCGUAAUUGGAAUGAGCACACUUUAAAUCCUUUAGCAACAACCAAUUGGAGGGCAAGUCUGGUGCCAGCAGCCGCGGUAAUUCCAGCUCCAAUAGCGUAUAUUAAAGUUGUUGCGGUUAAAAAGCUCGUAGUUCGAUUUGAGUUGCGGACUGGUGUGGGAGGUCACCGCCCGGUGCUUGCCCGCCAGGUUCCGAACAGCUUCCGUGAGUGGAAGCCAAGCCGGUUCUGCCGGGGUGCUCUUUACCGAGUGUCCCGCGCGGCCGGCCAGUUCACCUUGAAUAAAUGAGAGUGCUCAAAGCAGGCUACUCUGGAAUACAAUGCCCGAAUGUUAGCUGCAUGGAAUGAUGGAAGAUGAUCUCGGUUGCAUUUUGUUGGUGGUGGCAGCCAGAGGUAAUGAUAAAGAGGGACUGUCGGGGGCAUCCGUACUACGACGCGAGAGGUGAAAUUCAGUGACCGUCGUAGGACGAACAACAGCGAAAGCAUUUGCCAAGAAUGUCUUCGUUGAUCAAGAACGAAAGUUAGAGGAUCGAAGGCGAUCAGAUACCGCCCUAGUUCUAACCCUAAACGAUGCUGACUAGCAAUUCGCCGUCGUUAUUCCCAUGACGUGGCGAGACGCCCCCGGGAAACCUCAAGUCUUUGAGUUCCGGGGGUAGUAUGGUUGCAAAAGUGAAACUUAAAGGAAUUGACGGAAGGGCACCACCAGGAGUGGAGCCUGCGGCUUAAUUUGACUCAACACGGGGAAGCUCACCAGGCCCGGACACCAGAAGGAUUGACAGAUUAAGAGCUCUUUCUCGAUUUGGUGGGUGGUGGUGCAUGGCCGUUCUUAGUUGGUGGAGUGAUUUGUCUGGUUAAUUC
This 946-nucleotide ribosomal RNA is filed under the name Macrobrachium hirsutimanus. RNAcentral's name for it is "SSU rRNA". It matches the Rfam family "Eukaryotic small subunit ribosomal RNA", at positions 411 to 1325 of the family's 1831-position model. Lineage: Eukaryota; Metazoa; Arthropoda; Malacostraca; Decapoda; Palaemonidae. The record is from RNAcentral.